This 1379-nucleotide long non-coding RNA is filed under the name Cyanistes caeruleus (blue tit). Its description in RNAcentral is "lncRNA (ENSCCEG00000002758.1)". Lineage: Eukaryota; Metazoa; Chordata; Aves; Passeriformes; Paridae. The record is from RNAcentral.
UGAUGUGUCCAUGAUAGAUGGGAGAGCACAUGGCUGCUAUUUUUUGACCUUGGCUAUCCCCAGUUGGAGCAGCGUUUUUGGAUCCGCUGUCAGCAAGAAAUAGGUCCUCACAGUGCUGGAUUCACAGGAACACCGAGCUUGGGCAGCACAUUCCUGUCUUCCCUAAUGGAACAUUGGGGCUCCACAUGGCUGGGAAAGAGGAUGAAGGAUGGCUAUGGUGUGCAACAGCUCCCACAGCUUUGUCUUCUCCAAAGAGAGUUCAAGGAGCAUAAACAUUUAAAGCAACUACAGAACUUGUGAAGUCAACUACAGGACUUGAGUGUGGUGAAUCCACACUCUUGAAUCUAACAGAGACAAAGCUGAAGCACUUCUUCAGGUGGUCUGGAAAAAAAGAAAACACAGAAAUGACUUGGUGCUUCAUGUUUUUGGUACCACGAGGGAUAUGUGAAGAGUUCUGUGACUGUUUUAGCCAUCUCACACUAGGCAGGAUGCAGGAACAUGACACUGGCUGAAUACUCUACAGAGGCAAAGGCAGAGCCUCUCCCCUCAACACCAGGAUGUGAUCUGCAGGAAGCAAAGGGAGGAGGCCCUGCUGGCACCCUGAGGUGUGGACAGAAGUGAUUCCUGCACUGGAGUGCUGAGCACUGCAACACUAGAGCAUCACGUGUGAGCUGGGCCGUCCAGGGAACAGAUGUGUGUCCUCUUGGGCUCCUUUCCUGCUGUGUUUUAUAGUUCUAGGAAGUGAUGGAGGUAGUGGGUAAAGCGAAGUGAAAUUCAGAUGUUCUGCUUGAGAGACGCGGCGAAGACUGAGGUUUCAAUUUACACUUUUUCUGAGUUUUCAGUAAACAGACAAAUCUAGUAACUGUAGAAACUUGGCUUCAGCUGUGAACAGACAUUUUUGUUUGCUUUCUGCUUUAAACAACAUACUUCCUCAUGGAGGAUGUUACUCAGCUCGGAUUUCCAUAAUUACUUAUGGAGCAUCCUACAGCUAGUCCUUACCAUCCUUUUUGCAGCAGGAUUUUUAACCCAGAUGGAAUCCCCUCAUCCACUGUUUGGCUGUGGCAUCUCAUGGGAAGUGUCUGAUCCAUGGGACAGGUGAGUUCAUCUACUUCUGUCACAGGGAGUGUCCUGGGGCCUAACCAGAAAGAGGUGAGGUGGUGACUUUUUGUAAUUCUACAUACUUCAUUUAGUUUGGAAAUGAGACAAAGUUUAGUGAGAGGUACCUCAUUAUCAGAACUCUGGAGUAAUUGUAGCAGAAUUGGUGGGUACGAUGGGUUGUCAGGAAAAAGGACUCUGGGUUUGUGCUGAGAUACCUGUCUGGCUGUGACUGCAUUUGGGAGCAGAGACCAGAAGGAGCCACCAGUGGGCAGUUUUAACUG